GUCGACGAGAGGACAAGAGAAGCUUGCUUCUUUUGGAAUCGAGUGGCAAACGGGUGAGUAACACGUAAACAACCUGCCUUCAGGAUGGGGACAACAGACGGAAACGACUGCUAAUACCGAAUACGCUUGGGAGACCGCAUGAUCUUCCAAGGAAAGGGUGGCCUCUACCUGUAAGCUAUCGCCUGAAGAGGGGUUUGCGUCUGAUUAGGCAGUUGGCGAGGUAACGGCCCACCAAACCUACGAUCAGUAGCCGGUCUGAGAGGAUGAACGGCCACACUGGAACUGAGACACGGUCCAGACUCCUACGGGAGGCAGCAGUGGGGAAUCUUCCGCAAUGGGCGAAAGCCUGACGGAGCAACGCCGCGUGAGUGAUGACGGCCUUCGGGUUGUAAAGCUCUGUGAUCGGGGACGAACGGUCCGUAAGUCAAUACCUUAUGGAAGUGACGGUACCCGAAUAGCAAGCCACGGCUAACUACGUGCCAGCAGCCGCGGUAAUACGUAGGUGGCAAGCGUUGUCCGGAAUUAUUGGGCGUAAAGCGCGCGCAGGCGGCUUUCUAAGUCCAUCUUAAAAGUGCGGGGCUUAACCCCGUGAUGGGAUGGAAACUGGAAAGCUGGAGUAUCGGAGAGGAAAGUGGAAUUCCUAGUGUAGCGGUGAAAUGCGUAGA
RNAcentral lists this ribosomal RNA (665 nucleotides) under uncultured bacterium. Its description in RNAcentral is "bacterial SSU rRNA". It matches the Rfam family "Bacterial small subunit ribosomal RNA", at positions 61 to 694 of the family's 1533-position model. The record is from RNAcentral.